RNAcentral lists this transfer RNA (80 nucleotides) under Hydrangea serrata. RNAcentral describes it as "tRNA-Leu". Lineage: Eukaryota; Viridiplantae; Streptophyta; Magnoliopsida; Cornales; Hydrangeaceae. The record is from RNAcentral.
AGCAGUGCUAGAGCAUCUCGGUUCGAGUCCGAGUGGCGGCAUGCCAUCUUAUAAAGAGAUACAAUAGAUCCUAUAAUGAA